This is a long non-coding RNA of Scleropages formosus (Asian bonytongue), 2046 nucleotides long. Lineage: Eukaryota; Metazoa; Chordata; Actinopteri; Osteoglossiformes; Osteoglossidae. The record is from Ensembl.
GUACAAAAGUCAUUAAUUUUUUUUUUUUUUUUUUAAUACCUAAGUGUUAAGCUUUGAUUUGUGGUUAAAAGAAAAUCCAAAAGGAACUUGCCUGAGAUACUGUUAUUUUUUAUUAUUUUAGCUGUGUGUGUUUUUGCCAUCGCUACUAGUAACAUAAUAAUAAUAAUAAUAAUAAUAAUAAUAAUAAUAAUAAUGGCGAUGAUGGCCAUGCAUGUGUGCAGGUUUCGUUUGACCUUGCCGUGUCUUUUUUAUUUUUUGUCGCACAGAAGAAAAUCUUUAUCAAAACCCCAUUCUAUGGCUUCAACAAACAGAACCCAUUACCUCACGGCAGCUUUUGUUGGCCCUAUACAAGAGAGAACAAAAUGGUUAUUCAGGGGAACGCUUUAGAUUUUUUAUUGUGGGUAGUAUUCACAAAGAGCAGUGUUAUUGUAUUAAAAAGACCCAUCUGUAGCAGAAACAAUGGCUUCAAAUUAUCUUUGAAUACCCAGUGAAAAAAUAUAAAGCUCGUUCUUCUCAUUCUCUGUGGCAGGGGGGAUAAUGCCGGCUCCGUAUAACGGACUUUUUUGUUGUUCUUCAUGCCUUCUUGGGCCUUUUUAAAAGCGCACUCUUUCCCGAUAUGUGCCGCGUCGCGCACUGCGCUUCUCCUCUCCUCUCCUCUCCUCUCCUCUCUUGCCGGGGAAGCGGGGAAACGGCGGCGGCCGCGAGACGCGCGCGCUCUCGGUGCUUCCUCGCGCCACGGAGAGCCGGCUCGCCUCGCUCCGGUCCGUCGCGCGCACGGACUUGUUGUGUCUCGCGCGGGACGCGUGCGGUGGCAGCGCGGUCCGGAUGAGCGGUGGACAUGGACACAUUGGAGGAUGCGGGAGGAUCCCAGUGCAGCUCAAACCUUUGGAGCCCUGGUAGGGAAGAGACAGGAUGCCAAAAAGGCCAAGAUUUCCUUCCAGGGUGAGGAUGAAGGUGAGGUGACCAGGAGACUGCAGAAGUGUGCGCUCCCUCGCGCACAGGAAGGGUGCUCACAUUUUUAACACAUAUUUCAACAGCAACAGGUGGUAAUGGAGAAACAAUGGAAGCAGCCUAAUAUUUCUCGACUUGCUGACAGGCCGCUGAGCGUAGCUGUAGAUACCACAUGGCAAGGAGUCAACAAUGGUCUGAAACAGAUCUGCACGUAUUCCACAGUGGACUUUUAAACUUUCUUCCAAGUUUGUGGGAGACGGACACCAAACCAUCCCACGAUCGAGGUGCGGUCUCUCGGAUGGCCGUGGAAGAUGAGUAACUUCGCUGCUCAGUUCGGUGCUUUCUGAGUCGGAGCACCGCCUUCCUGGAAAACACAAGAAGUGCUGCCUUAUGGGGAGCGGGGUGACGGCUCAACCACUUGUUGAAUUCACUGCGUCCAGUCACCGAACGAGCGGACUUGGGAAAUCACCGCAGAGCCGUGUGAAGAUCUGACGGCUGGGUCCGGGCACUCUGGAGAGCUAGACCCUUAGUUUGCCGUCGCACGUUGUGCUUGUCCUCCAUCUUCCAGAAAAGUGGUGAAGUGCAGUUCUUUGGAGAGCGCAACCUUAGAAUACCACCCCGUUGCCAGUACUCUUACGAUAAUGGAUCAGCGGGCAGCCAUUGCCAGGUGUUUGAUACAGUUUGUCCAAGUCAUCCAGUAUAUGGCAUAUAAAUGUCCUGUUUAUAUUACAUUUCCUCUACGCUUCUGUUUGUUGGUUGCAAACACGUUCGCAUACAUGGAGCACGGGCAGGAAGUGUAAAGAUGACUAUUUUACAGGUACGAUGACAUGCGGUUUUCUUUUUUUGCAUCGUUAUUUGUAGAUUGAGGAUGCUCGUGGCUCACACUGAACCUUUCGGUCAGCUCCUUUUGCCUUUGCCCCACUCUCUUCCGAAUGCGUCACUUAUGGGGUUUUGGAAUGUUCACAUCUGCCCCCCUGUUGCUCCUCAGCGAUGCUCUCUUCUUUUCUUCUCCGUAGACAUCACAUUCUAGGCGUUAGAAGCUUACGUCGACCUCUCUGCACCCUGUUCAAAGUCGCGGAUACCCUGCCCCCACCC